RNA transcript from Nasonia vitripennis (jewel wasp), 2937 nucleotides. RefSeq lists it as uncharacterized. NCBI's taxonomy places the organism in Eukaryota, Metazoa, Arthropoda, Insecta, Hymenoptera, Pteromalidae. The record is from RefSeq and is a predicted model, not a curated record. The transcript is spliced from 3 exons.
UCAUGAUAGGUGAUAGUCCAGCAGUAUGGUUCAAGAAGUCGACGAAAGCAGACGUUUAUCAUCAGUAUUCUGCUCACAAUUAGAGCACUUAUCGCAAGACGAACAAAAUCCAGCUUAUAUUAAUAAAAAGAGCGCCUAGCAGACGAUAAACAAUGUCAAGGUUGAGAUCAACCCUCUUCACUUGCUGCUUACUAUUUUGCCUGAUUUUGGAAAUCCAUAGCGAUUCCGAAUUUAAACCGUUUACCUUAACCAAACAAUGGACAGCAAACACCACGUACCCGCCCAACGUAAUCAGGAUCAACGGAAUUGAAGAUGAUCUCUUAGUAGUUGGUUUGGAGAAUAACACAAUCUACGUAAACUCAACCUUCAAUGGUAACCAAUCCAACAAUUGCAAGCUCGACUUUUUGAAACCGGACGAAAUCGCUGGUCACAAAAUUCGAGUCUAUGCUCUCGGUAACGGUCAAAUUAUUAUCAAUACUCCCAUGAUGACAGAGAGCCACAAGUUGCGCAGCAAAGGACCCAGUCCCCCUGUCUGGCGUAUGCUUCUUAUCUUCUACCCAUUCCAAUGUUCCAAUCUCAAAAAAGUAGAGUUGCGCAGAAAUGAUCGUGACGACUUCGAAGCUCUCGUACCCUAUCAUGACACCUUUGACGUGUUCUAUCACAGCGAAUCUACUGAUAACGCUGAGGUUUUGAAGUCUCCUCAAAGAUACAACAACAAUGGUGAACAACUGAAUCUGAACUACUCCAUCGGUUUAGAAAACCAAUUUCUCAUCAGGAACAUCCAAACGUUGAUACCGAACGAUGCAUCCGAAGGAUACAUCAGUUACAUUGACACAGGAAAAGAAAACGUACUGAGGCUUCUCAACCCUCACUUCGAAACACUUGCCGAAGCCACUGUCGAUAACUUCAUCAGCACCGUGUCAGGCAAAUUCAACGGAAAAAUUAACUACUGCUAUUCGACGACGAAGCCGUACAAUAACAGUAAGAACACAAAGGAAGAAGGAAGCGAACAUGUAGUCUGUAAGUUUCUAGCCACUGGGCUGAAAGACCAAGAUACGAAGGAGUUACCGAAGCCAGUUGAAAGAAAACGUGUCUAUAACACUAUCCUGACCAACUUAUUCAAUGGCGGAGUUGUAGCUACAGUAGCUUACAGAUACCCCCGUAAGACUGACGGUUUUCCGAUGAGGAUCUUCGCGCACUACACCGAUCGCCUGGGAGUGACUCGGAAACCAGUCGAGAUCUUUUCACAUUCGAUUUACUAUCAAGACGUUGCGGAGACGAUUUCGUUAGAUAAUGGAGACGUUUGCUUUGUCAAUGGUGGAGAAAUGGAGCCUUACAAACCUUUCCAAAGCGUGAGGAACAGCAUUUGGAUCGACUGCUAUAAAGUCUCGGAUUAGUGAAAAUAAUUUAUGUUAAAAGUGAUUUUAUUUGAGUUAAAAUAAAUGUUUACGUAAGAUAAUGUGUUUUCAUUUCUUACCAGGAAUUUCAUCAUAUUAAUUCGACGAAAUGUAAUCAUUUGACAAUACGAGAUUGAGAGGAGUUACGUAUCAGCAUAAAUAUGUACAUAAUAUACAUAGCAUUAAUACAUUAGUGUGAUUUAAGAAACUGUUGAAUGCGGACGUGAGAGACUUUUUUAUCCUCCGUACUGUCAAACAACUUAUUCACGAUGUCGAUGUCCAAAUCGACGAUCUUCACUUGUGGCUUACUAUGUUGCCUGAUCCUAGAAAUCCAUGGCUUAACAUUGAAAACAUUCACCAAACGAUGGUCAGCCGACUACACUUUCCCACCAAACAUAGUCGCGGUCAACGGUCAUCUCUUAGUCGUUGGUAUGCAAAAUAACACGAUCAUCGUAGACUCGACCUACAAUGGUAACCAGUCCAACACUUGCAAGCACGACUUUUUCAAUCCGGAUGAAUUUUUCAUCGAUCAAACCAAAGUCACUGCUCUUGGUAAUGGUAAGAUCGUUAUCCACACUGUGAUAUCAGAGAGUGACAAGGUGCGCAAUGUACGAAUACCCUGGCGUCUACUUCUUAUCCUAGACCCAUUCGACUGUUCUUCUCUCAGGAAAGUGGAGUUUCGUAGGUAUAGGGAUUACACGUUUGAAGCUCUCGUACCUUAUCGGGACAGCUUUGACGUGUUUUUCCAUAAUUCGUCAAAGGAACGUGGUAACGCGUUAAAAAUUCCUCACCGAUACAACGACCAAGGUAAACCGAUCCAGCUGGAAAACUUCGUAGGUUUUGAAAACCAAUAUUUGAUUGGGAAAACUGAAACGAUCGAACCAUACGACGCAUCUAAGGGAUACGUUUGUUACAUGUACUCAGGCAAAGGGUACGUACUGAGGCUUCUCAACUCUCGCUUUGAAACGUUAAAGGAAAUCGUUGCUGAAAACUACAUAGAUAACUUCUCUGCAACUUUCGGAAAAAUCAACUACUGCUACUCAACGACGAAAGACUAUCAAACUACGACACACAACGACAGCAAAACUAUGAAGGAAACAGGAAGAGAACACGUGAUCUGCGAGUUCCUAGACGCCGAUCUCAAAUCCAAGGCCACAGUUGAAUUACAGAAACCUGUUGAAAUGAAGCGAGUCUACGACAGCAUCGUGACCAAUCUACCCGAUGGUGGAGUUUUGAUUACAGUAGCAUACAAAGACAGUCGUGAGACUAACAACUAUCCGAUGAAGAUCUACGUGCAACAUAUCAACGUUGAUGGAAGUAGGGGAGAACCUGUAGAGAUCUUCACGCAUUUGAUUUACUAUCAGCGAGUGAUGGAAACGAUUUUGAUAAAUAACGAAGAAGUUUGCUUCGUCAAUGGUGGAUCGAUGGAGCCUACUUACAAAGAAUUCGAAAGUAAAAAGUACGGUAUGUGGAUUGACUGCGUCCUAGUGUCAGAAUUUUAAACAAUGCAAAUGUAUAACGAUGAUGGAAUAAAUAAAUU